CGUUACAAUUAACACUUUAAAAAUUUUCCUCAGUUGUCUUUCGUCAAUUAAUUUUUUUCUGUUGGCUUUUAAGGUAACCAUGCGACAGAUAGAGAAGACAGUCCAUCAUUAACAAAAUCAAGAUUGUGAGGCAGAUACAGUCAGUACAUACAGACCUUGAAAGAUUGCAAAACACUCUUCAAUUCAACAAGACUGUGCAGUUAGUAAAAGGAAAAAAUCUCCCAGCACUAAACCCAUUGACCAAUUGAUUCGAACAAACUCAGAUAAUCUUAUUGCAUCGAAACCCUCAAGAACAGAGCAAGGAAUGAUAAAAUUAGAGUUCCAAAGAUAAUGCCAAAAGAAAAGAUUAUCCCAGAAUACUCUGGAAGUUUAUCUACUUGAAAUAAAGUUUAUUGUAAUUCUGGCAUAAAGGCAUCCGUUAACGAAAUUUGUCACGCCGAAAGAAAAAAAGCAAUAUUUACGUAGGAGUAAAAACUCGCGCUUUUGAGGGGGCAAACCACAUGUUCGCAAGAAGGAAAAGGAAAGAUUUAUCCCUUCGGUAGUUGAAACAUUUUUUUGGAAUGGCUCAGAAAACUGAAAAAUAUUUUCGAAAAAAAACUAAGUCUUUUGGCGGGAAAAAUGUCUCUGGAAAAAAAAGGUCUGCGCUUUUGAAUUGUGUCUUGUGUUGAUCAGAAAAUAUACAGAGUCUUUUGGCGGGAAAAAUCCUGCAAUGUGUAGUUUAUUUCUUCCCAUCAGAAGUAAAGUAUAUAUUUUGUUUUAACACUAGCUCCCGUUCAAAUCCGUAGAAAUUUUUUUCCCCUGGGCAACCCUCCAUACGCGAAAAAAAGUAAAAGAGAUAGCCUAUAUUUUGACCAGUUACCAGGCCCUUUCAAAAGCGCAAUUUUUUUUAAAUUGCUCGUGCGCUCAGUUAAAUACAAAGGAAGAGGAAAGAGACAAUAAAGUAACUAAAGAAUUAUUUCUUUUUGUAAGUUUAUUUUCAAAAUGCAAGUAAAAAGUUUUUCAACACUAAGAUAAUAAAAUUGAUGAUUUACAAACUAACUUGU
Molecule: long non-coding RNA, 1043 nt
Organism: Pocillopora damicornis (cauliflower coral)
Lineage: Eukaryota; Metazoa; Cnidaria; Anthozoa; Scleractinia; Pocilloporidae
Source: RefSeq, a predicted model, not a curated record